RNAcentral lists this ribosomal RNA (1003 nucleotides) under uncultured bacterium. Its description in RNAcentral is "bacterial SSU rRNA". It matches the Rfam family "Bacterial small subunit ribosomal RNA", at positions 353 to 1371 of the family's 1533-position model. The record is from RNAcentral.
AGUGGGGAAUAUUGCACAAUGGAGGAAACUCUGAUGCAGCAACGCCGCGUGGAGGAUGACACAUUUCGGUGCGUAAACUCCUUUUAUAUGAGAAGAUAAUGACGGUAUCAUAUGAAUAAGCACCGGCUAACUUCGUGCCAGCAGCCGCGGUAAUACGAGGGGUGCAAGCGUUACUCGGAAUCACUGGGCGUAAAGAGCAUGUAGGCGGGUAGUUAAGUUGGAAGUGAAAUCCUAUGGCUCAACCAUAGAACUGCUUCCAAAACUGAUUAUCUAGAGUAUGGGAGAGGUAGAUGGAAUUUCUGGUGUAGGGGUAAAAUCCGUAGAGAUCAGAAGGAAUACCGAUUGCGAAGGCGAUCUACUGGAACAUAACUGACGCUAAGAUGCGAAAGCGUGGGGAGCAAACAGGAUUAGAUACCCUGGUAGUCCACGCCCUAAACGAUGCACACUAGUUGUUGCUAUGCUAGACAUAGCAGUAAUGCAGUUAACACAUUAAGUGUGCCGCCUGGGGAGUACGGUCGCAAGAUUAAAACUCAAAGGAAUAGACGGGGACCCGCACAAGCGGUGGAGCAUGUGGUUUAAUUCGACGAUACGCGAAGAACCUUACCUGGCCUUGACAUAAGCAGAACAUAAUAGAGAUAUAUUGGUGCUAGUUUACUAGAACUGCUAUACAGGUGCUGCACGGCUGUCGUCAGCUCGUGUCGUGAGAUGUUGGGUUAAGUCCCGCAACGAGCGCAACCCUCGUGUCUAGUUACUAACAGUUCGGCUGAGGACUCUAGACAGACUGCCUGGGUAACCAGGAGGAAGGUGAGGACGACGUCAAGUCAUCAUGGCCCUUACGGCCAGGGCUACACACGUGCUACAAUGGGGUAUACAGAGAGCCGCAAUACCGCGAGGUGGAGCAAAUCUUUAAAAUAUCUCCCAGUUCGGAUAGCACUCUGCAACUCGAGUGCUUGAAGUUGGAAUCGCUAGUAAUCGUGAAUCAGCAAUGUCACGGUGAAUACGU